UACGUAGGGGGCAAGCGUUGUCCGGAUUUAUUGGGCGUAAAGAGCGUGUAGGCGGCCUGAAAGGUCAGCUGUGAAAACUCGAGGCUCAACCUCGAGCUGUCGGUGGAAACUGUGUGGCUAGAGUCCGGAAGAGGAGAGUGGAAUUCCCGGUGUAGCGGUGAAAUGCGCAGAUAUCGGGAAGAACACCCGUGGCGAAGGCGGCUCUCUGGGACGGUACUGACGCUGAGACGCGAAAGCGUGGGGAGCGAACAGG
RNAcentral lists this ribosomal RNA (253 nucleotides) under uncultured bacterium. RNAcentral describes it as "partial 16S ribosomal RNA". It matches the Rfam family "Bacterial small subunit ribosomal RNA", at positions 524 to 776 of the family's 1533-position model. The record is from RNAcentral.